This 197-nucleotide ribosomal RNA is filed under the name uncultured bacterium. RNAcentral describes it as "partial 16S ribosomal RNA". It matches the Rfam family "Bacterial small subunit ribosomal RNA", at positions 326 to 539 of the family's 1533-position model. The record is from RNAcentral.
ACGCUCGACACCUACGGUAGGCAGCAGUGGGGAAUAUUGCACAAUGGGGGAAACCCUGAUGCAGCGACGCCGCGUGGAGGAAGAAGGUCUUCGGAUUGUAAACUCCUGUUGUUGGGGAAAAAGAGGAUGGUACCCAACAAGGAAGUGACGGCUAACUACGUGCAGCAGCCGCGGUAAUCUGAGCGGGCUGGCAAGGC